This 6849-nucleotide long non-coding RNA is filed under the name Malus domestica (apple). RNAcentral's name for it is "long non-coding RNA (MDOM_LNC006280)". Lineage: Eukaryota; Viridiplantae; Streptophyta; Magnoliopsida; Rosales; Rosaceae. The record is from RNAcentral.
AAAGGAUUUGAUGAGAUGGACUUUGAAUUGUUACCUAUUUUGGGCACUUCUGUCUUGGUUGAAAGAGGGUUGUCCGCUGCUUGCGCGUAGGAACCUCGUUGUACUGCAAGGGUAUUUUUGUCAUUUUUGUCCAAAAAUCCACGUGUCGCCCUAUGAAUAUUUUUGGCUCCACAAAUGCCCCCACACCUGUUGGGCUGCUCGCAGAAAAGGGCAGCAGGUGUAGAGAUCUUCUUGCUUUAGGAAACUUAGGACUGCUUCCUAUUUUGAUGUAGAUUCUCUCUUUAAUAGGAAAUUAGAUCCUUCUAGGAAAGGGAAAUAAAUUUCUCUCAAAGCCUAUUUAAAUCCACCUUAAGUGGGUUAUUAAAUCAACUUUGGAGAGCGAUUUAUUCUACCCUACAAGAGAGAGAUAGCUUAGAGGAUAUUUGUUCCCCCUCCUCUAGCAAUCUUCUACAUCUUGCCCGUGCAAAGGACCGUCUUUCGUUGAUUUCUUCGUCUUCUUCGUGGAUAGUGCUACCGCGGGGCAGCCGUCGGGGUGGUGCGGCACGUCGGCUGGCAUGGGCCAGGAGUCGACUCGGCAUGGGCCGAUGAGGUAUUGUGGCAGGGACCACUGCUUUAAGCUGCUCGACUUGGCUAGAACCAAGGGCAGCUUGUGUGGCUGGGACCUCGGAUUGUGGCACUGGGGCGCAGUGUUAGGCAAGUCACAUGGCUCAUGUCUUUUUAGGCUUUUGGACAUGACUCGAGCUAGGCUGGUGAUUGAGAGAAAUGAAGAGGUUGCGAACCUCAUGAACUGCUGGAAUGUUGGGUUGAACUUCCCUGCUAGGUACCACGAAUGACGUUGGCUACUUUAACUCUUUUCGUCAGGAGAAACGUGGGCUAUUCCCAAAAGAUGAGGGGAAUAGGAUCAAAGCGGAUGCUCUGGCUCGUCCAAUCACUGUUGUGGAUCAUGCUGCAAGUGAAGGUGGGAAAAUGGAUCUUCUCUGCUCGCUCAAGAGAUGCCGGCUGAGAAAAAACCAAAGACUUAUUUCGUUGCUCAUGAGGGUUCGCUUGCUACCAAGAGGUAUGUGAUUGACAUGACUUCUUCCAAUGGGAAGAAAUGUAAGGCUGCUAGAUAUGAGCAUGUGGCGUCUUCCAUGUUGAGAAUGGAUAGUACAAUUGUGGAUAAGAUUACUCAGCGUAAAGGUUUUAUCAUGCCCCCAGUGCCGAAGUCUGUACCAGGACGUUCUUUGGGAGCCAAGUCCGGUUCACCUUUGUAGAGACUUGCUAUUAUGAAGAGUGGUAAGGUGGACUCUGCUGCUAAAGUGGCGCCAAAGCCUGCUCCCUUUGCUGCUGAGAUUGAUUCGCCUCAGAUUCAAGAUCUUAAGCUUGCAAUUUCUGAGCUUCGUUUCGCUACUUAUGCUAAGAAGAGAGUGGAUGAGCUGCAGCGCGUCCGUGUUAGUUUGCUUAAGAAGAAUGAGAAACUGAAGGGUGAGAAGGAUGGGCUUGAGGUUUUAAGACCUUCUCUAAUUCUCCGGAAGACUUGCUUGCUUUUACUUUUAAAGCUUCCAUUGGUGAAGUAGUUGGAGAAGUUAGUGCCCAGACUGGGGCAGCCAGGGGUGAAGCGUCGGAUGAUGCCGCUGCUAAGAGCGUUACGGUUGUUGAAGGUGUGGCGACCGAGUAGUCGUGGGAUGUCCAAGCUGCUGUAGUGUAGUAUUUUAGGUAGCCUUUAGGAUUUUCUUUAUUUUUCCUUGUAGCUUUUGUUUUGCUUGAACUCCUUCGGCCUUUGCUAGUUGUUUAUAAACAUGUUUUCCUUCGUUUUUCUUCAUCUUCACUUCUUUUGUUCAUGCCCUAACCUUUAGACUUGAUAGACAAGUGGCAGGCAUGCUACUUUUUUAUAAGCAGACAAACUCGCGUAGCCUAUGCAGCCGUAGGUGUUGGUGUAGAACUUUGCAAAGUUGUUAGCCAUAGGGUUGGCAGCCGGAUGCCUUACUUACAGAAGCAGACAAGUCCGCGUAACCACUAGGCUGUUAACCUUGACUUUCUUCAAUUCCGUAGGUUGCGUAGCAAGUAUCACAACACUUUAGGACUUGGUGUAGGUUGUUCCGCGCUUGGCAGAGGUGAAGCUUAUCGACUACGUAGCAUGUCGGCAAUGGAUAAAACUUCGUAUAUGCGCGCUAGCUUGUUUAACCUUUCACAAGAAUGUGCGGUUGUAUAAGUCUAGUGUGGCUUCACUGCUCGAAGGGCAAGCCGUAGGCAAUCUUCCGGAAUCCGUAGGCUACCUUAGUGCACUCGGUAGCAGCUUUAGGAUUCCAGGGCAGUCGUCCAUCGGAUGUACUGCGUAAUGUGCCAUCUCCGUCUCUAGGGCCCGGUUCCCCACGGAUUAGGCCAAGAGACCCAAAAUCCUUCAGUUAGCUAAGCCUUGAAAAAGACCAUUGCGGCUACUUCUAGGAAUCCCGGCGCAAGCCAUCGUGCAUCUAGUUAUACUAGGGCAGCCAGGCUCAUCCACGUCUGGAUAUUCGGAGUGUAAAGUUUAUCCUCCCGUCUUGGAGAGCUGACCCAUAUGGGUGUCGGAGAAUUGGUUUACCCUCUCGCACUGGAGAGCAUGGUUGGUCCCUCGGGGGCGCAAUUCCUGCGAUGAGUCCCUAAGAAGGGCGCAGUCUUCUUUUGAAGUGCAGGAGUGAUUAGUUGUUGUAAGCAUGCAACCAAGCCAAGUUGUGAUUACUUCUAAAUUCCUCAUUGAAAAACGAGUGAAACGAACAAGAACUUUAGUUGUAAGGUAGGAACUGCAUAACAACCGGAUAGUCCUCAGCUUGUGAGGUGGUGCCCGUCGAGCUUAUUGAGUCUUCGGGUUUUGAUGUAGCGGGAGGUCACGCAUGGUACUUCUUCAGAUUGUAGGCCAUCCAUUUCUUUUCAAUCUUUUUGCCGCUUCAUGGUGGUGAGGGUGUAAUUACUCUUGCCCCCUACUCUGCUGAUCUUGUACGGACCUUCCCAGAUGGGAUCCAUCUUUUUUGAGCCUUCUCUGCCGGCAGUGAUGAAGGCUUUUCUGCGUCGUCGACAUGCAAAUGCCAGAAGUCUCCAUCGGGUGGAGUAGGCACAGCUAGAGUGUGCUCGGCUACUUCUGAGGCAUCGUUGGGCCGAGUUGUUGCGUUCGUCAGAAAACUUUACAUCUGCCAGGGUCUACGCCUUUAUCGUCGCCGGUUUGGAUUCGGCGGAAUAGUGCGUCAUGAUGAUGACUGCAGGUAACUGUAGAAUACAGGUAGUCGGGCCCCCAGCUCUUCUCGCAUGAUGGUAGAGCUUAUUGCUACUUUAGAUACCGUCAAACAUGCGAAUAAGUCCUCCGCUGCUUCUAGGGAGGUGAUGUCGGGUACUUCUUCAAGUCCUUGAAUGUGCAUUGGCGAGCCUCAUCCCAAAGUGCAUGUUUCUCUGCUAAAGCAAAAGAGUCUGCCAGAGUUAGAUCUUCUUUCAUGAUCAAUUUUCCGAAUAGCGGGUGGUCUGCUGGAAGUCCUUUUUGGAAAGCUGCUCUAGCUAUCGAGUCAUUGCAUCCGACUAUUUUUGCCUUCUCUACUUUGAACCUCCUCACGUAAUCGCGAAGCGACUCUUUUGGGUUUUUCUUUACGUUGAACAGGUGAUCGGACUUCUUAUUGAUCGAUCGAUAAGAUGAGUAUUCUUUGGUGAAAACCAAGGAAAGAUCAUCAAAAUUCUGGAUGGAUCGUGCCGGCAAGGUAUGAAACCAAUCUUGUGCCUCGCCUUGUAAAGUAGUGGCGAAUAUUUUGCACAUAAAGGCGUCAUUAUUCCGAUAAAGGACCAUCGCACUUCGGUAAUGCUUCAAGUGUCUUUCCGGGUCUUCAUCCCUUUUAAAAGAUGUGAAAUGUGGCAUGCUGAAAUCGCGUGGAGGCUCUGCCUGCUCAAUCUCCUCCGUGAAGGGUGACCUGCUUAUGUUGGUUAUGUUCCGUCGUAGUGCCUCGUCGGUGACCUCGUUGCGUUGGAAAUCAUGCAAUCGCUUGGUCAAGAGUCUCUCUACUUCUUCCUGAAUUUGCCUUUGUUGGGGUAGCGGAGCUCUCGGCUGCCCCCAGUCAUGACUUGCUGGUCUAGGCUACUCUUCCAUGUGUUUAGCUCGUCUAUGCCGCGGAUGCAGUGCAUGUGAUGCGUUCCUAGUAGGCGAGCGAGUUCUUCGCAUGCUGCUGGUUGAACUUGAGCUAGAUUGAGUGACUGCUUCUCUCCGUCCGUCGUGCUGCCUACUCUGAUGUGAGGUGGAUGACACUCCUUGUGGGCUUAGCUGCGAAUAGACACUUUGCCCGGAAGGUUGUUCAUGUUGACUAUCGGAGUAUAACCCCAACCGUGAAUGUAUGCUCCUCCGUGGGCCUAGUCGAGAGUGCAUGCUCCUUCGCGCUCUAAGACGGGAAUGUACACUGCCCAAACGUUCGGCUCGUGGCUGCUUGCCGGGAUGCUGCUGGAAAUGUCCGUCUGCCCUUGUCCUACUUCGGGAUACCUCGUCCGGGGCACGUUGGAUCCCAAUGUGUUGCAAAAGUUGAUUCACCAAGGUUGUCUGUUGUGCAAGGGCGCUCGUCAACUCUAUGACUUGUCGAGACAAGUGUUGUUCGCCAUUUGGAUUGGAAGAGCUUGGAAGGAAUGUGCCUCCUUGGGUAGUGAAAUGGUGGUAGACUUCGGGCGCGAGAUUUGAGUUGGGAAAUGUCAAACCCGCGAAAAAAUGUGGUGAGAAUGCCCCCGGUUCGAUGGUAGGUCCGGAUGGUUGAGAUAGUCUUGGGCCGACUUGGGCUGCUUGGAAAGCCACUGGAGCAGGAUAGGCAGUGAGAGUGGGCUGCUCGUCGGGAGCAGGCUGGGUCACGGGAAUGGGCUGCUCGACGGAAGCAGGUUGGGCCACGGGAGUCGGCUGCUUGACGGAAGCAGGCUAGACCACGAGAGUGGGCUGCUCGUCGGGAGCAGGUUGGGUCACGAGAACAGGCUGCUUGGCAGGAGCAGGAUGGGCCACGGGAGUGGGCUGCUUGAUGGAAGCAGGCUGAACCACGGGAGUGGGCUGCUCAUCGGCAGCAGGCUGGGUCACGAGAGCAAGCUGCUUGGCAGGAGCAAGCUGGGCCGCGAUAGCAAGUUGCUUGGCGGGAGCAGGCUGGGCCACGGGAUUGGGCUGCUCGACGGAAGCAGGCUGGACCACGAGAGUGGGCUGCUCGUCGGGAGCAGGCUGGACCACCGGAGUGGGCUGCUCGUCGGGAGCAGGCUGAGUCACGAGAGCAGGCUGGGCCACGGGAGUGGGCUGCUCGACGGAAACAGGCUGCUCAAUGCACGGUGCAUGUGAAUGCGAGGCUUGGACUUAGGUCCAUGUAAACUUGGAUGACACGGCUUGGGUCGUGGUCUUAGUACCGUGAGCCUUGGAUGGCACGACUCGGGCCGUGGUGAAGGCUCCAUGGACCUCGCCACAAGUGGCUACCGAAGUAGCCACCGCGGUGGUUCCCAUGGUGGCCGUGGUGAAGGCACCAUGGACCUCGCUGCGGGUGGCUACCGAGGUAGCCACCACGGUGGUUCCCAUUGUAGAAGCUUGUGGUGAUGAUGCCGCUCCCCUUAUUGUCGCAUUUUGCCUCACGGAUCUCCGGGCCGUGGUGAAGGCUCCAUGGACCUCGCCACGAGUGGCUACCGAAGUAGCCACCGCGGUGGUUCCCAUGGUGGCCGUGGUGAAAGCACCAUGGACCUCGCCGCGGGUGGCUACCGAGGUAGCCACCACGGUGGUUCCCAUGGUGGAAGCUCGUGAUGAUGAUGCCGCUCCCCUUAUUGUCGCAUUUAGCCUCACGAAUCUCCGCAAUCCCAUUUCUUGAACAUUAGAAUUUUCACUCGUGGAAUUUUCUAAAUUUCUAGCCAUUAUAUUUUGCUUAUACGUUUUAUCAAAGAACCUUUGCAAAUAAAAAAUUCUAAUAAUAAGAACGUAUGAAAAAUAUUCAAAUGGACUAGAAAAUAAAGAAAAAACCUUUUUUGUGCGAGAGUCUUCUACGAGUAUGGAUUUCAACUCUCAAUGAAAGCACCAAUUUGUGGAUGCAAAUUUUCUCCUCUUCGAUCUUGGACGAUUUUGCACCUACAAAACAACUAGCACCUUAGGUUAAGGCCAAGAGCCUCACGCGCCCACGAUGAAUGGGGGGCUUUGGCCGAAGAACCUCUGAUGCCAAAGUUAGAAUUUAGAGAGAAAGAGUGUUUAGAGAAUUUUGGGAUUUUGGGAUUUUUGCCAAAGUGUUGGAAUUUUUUUGCUUUUUGGUGAGAAUGGGAGUAUAUUUAUAGGGAUAGGAGGUGGCUAGGGUUUUUAGGUUUAAUUUAGGUUUAAUUAGCCAAUUUAUUUGGCUAUUAAACAUAAGAUGAAUGUUUUGGUGGUUUUUGAAUUUAUUGGGUAAUAAAAAGGAAGAAAUGGUGAAAAAGGUAGAAAAAUGUGAUGGAUUAGGUUUUGAAAUGGGGAUAGCCUGCCAUGUGGUGUUUUAAGGUUGAAUUGGAUGUAUUUUGUAGUUAUUUGGAUAUAAUGGAUGGUUUAAUUGACAAUUAAUGGGUUAAUUAGGCAAUAAACCCAUUAAUUAGCCAAUUAACAUAAUUUAAAAGGAAUGUGUUUGGGAAUUACCUUGUAGAAAGGAUUUGAUGAGAUGGAUUUUGAAUUGUUACCUAUUUUGGGCACUUCUGUCUUGGUUGAAAGAGGGUUGCCCGCUGCUUGCGCGUAGGAACCUCGUUGUACUGCAAGGGUAUUUUUGUCAUUUUUGUCCAAAAAUCCACGUGUCGCCCUAUGAAUAUUUUUGGCUCCACAACCUUGAUAAAUAUGGCAUACUCCUAUAUAUGUUUCCUUUUUGGGUUAACUAGUUCUUGAUUGUCAUUUAUUUAUCAAAUAAAUUU